This is a long non-coding RNA of Helianthus annuus (common sunflower), 1255 nucleotides long. RefSeq lists it as uncharacterized. The record is from RefSeq and is a predicted model, not a curated record. The transcript has 6 exons. Lineage: Eukaryota; Viridiplantae; Streptophyta; Magnoliopsida; Asterales; Asteraceae.
UCCAUUUGCUAUCGUGUUCAUCUCUCAGCCUAUCCACGCCUCCUCCUUAUUGCUAAACUAGGGUUUUUUUCCUUUACAUCUAUUCUUCCUAACCCUAAUCUCAUUUCCCCCAAAGGUGAAGGAGAAGAACAGCGUAGCAUUUCGCUCAGCAAGCAUUUCGCUCAACCACCUCUUCUUCUUCCACAAGCAUUAGAUCGAGUCGGAGCCCUAAUCCUAAGCAGGCAGCCGCUUAACAUUUUCCAAAAUCACCGCAAUUACGCAUCGCUCACAUGGCUCGUGCUUUAUCCAGAUCCGCUCGUCAGUGAGAGAGACAUUGUAGAGCACAAAGAAGGAUUAUGCCAAAACAGAAGACGAUUUGAAGUCCCUUCAAAGCGUUGGACAGAUCAUAGGCGAGGUGCUAAGACCUCUGGAUAGUGAACGAUUGAUAGUCAAAGCCAGUAGUGGCCCAAGGUACGUGGUCGGAUGGCGCAGUAAAGUGGACAAAGAAAAACUAACUGCUGGAACUCGAGUGGUUCUCGACAUGACAACUCUGACAAUCAUGCGAGCACUCCCUCGUGAAGUUGACCCAGUUCUUUGCUUCACGAAGACCCCGACAAUGUUAGCGAAAGAAGUUGGUGGGCUAUCGGAUCAGAUUCGAGAUCUCCGGGAAUCCAUUGAGUUGCCUUUGAUGAAUCCGGAGCUCUUUAUAAAGGUCGGCAUUAAACCACCUAAGGGUGUUCUUCUUUAUGGACCUCCUGGUACGGGCGAGUGGAUGCUAGCUAGAGCAAUUGCCAGUAAUAUAGAUGCCAAUUUCUUAAAGGUCUUUAUGCUAACAAGAUCUCUAUGCUAAGCGUUUCUGUGGGCUUUGGGGUUAGUUUUUAUUUUACUCUUGGUGAUUCAUUUUUAAGUACCUUCUUUUAUAUACAACGAUUUUACACCAUAAUCUUUAAAAGAGGCUGAAAAAAGGGCUUCGCUCGUAAAGUUGACUACAUAUAUGUAUAUGCAUCUGAUCUUGUAACAGCUGUUCGCAAAGCUUCCGGAACAAUAGAAAAGCCGUUGGAAGGAUGUCAUAUAGUUGUGGAUGCUGGAAAUGGAGCUGGUGGUUUUUUUUGCUGUAAGGGUUUUUUUAAAUCUUAAAACACGAGUUGUGUGUCUGUUAGUAGGAAUGUUGUUAUUAAGUUGGUUGUUUUCUACCUUAAAUAAUUACACAAAGAUAUCAGUUUGACCGGUUGACAAAUUUUGAGUAAUUUCAUAUUUGUUUAACUUUCUUGAAAUA